This 497-nucleotide ribosomal RNA is filed under the name uncultured bacterium. RNAcentral's name for it is "partial 16S ribosomal RNA". It matches the Rfam family "Bacterial small subunit ribosomal RNA", at positions 28 to 507 of the family's 1533-position model. The record is from RNAcentral.
GAUGAACGCUGGCGGCGUGCCUAAUACAUGCAAGUCGAGCGAACGGACGAGAAGCUUGCUUCUCUGAUGUUAGCGGCGGACGGGUGAGUAACACGUGGAUAACCUACCUAUAAGACUGGGAUAACUUCGGGAAACCGGAGCUAAUACCGGAUGAUAUUUUGAACCGCAUGGUUCAAAAGUGAAAGACGGUCUUGCUGUCACUUAUAGAUGGAUCCGCGCUGCAUUAGCUAGUUGGUAAGGUAAUGGCUUACCAAGGCAACGAUGCAUAGCCGACCUGAGAGGGUGAUCGGCCACACUGGAACUGAGACACGGUCCAGACUCCUACGGGAGGCAGCAGUAGGGAAUCUUCCGCAAUGGGCGAAAGCCUGACGGAGCAACGCCGCGUGAGUGAUGAAGGCCUUCGGAUCGUAAAACUCUGUUAUUAGGGAAGAACAUAUGUGUAAGUAACUGUGCACAUCUUGACGGUACCUAAUCAGAAAGCCACGGCUAACUACGUG